Long non-coding RNA from Dermochelys coriacea (leatherback sea turtle), 1697 nucleotides. RefSeq lists it as uncharacterized. NCBI's taxonomy places the organism in Eukaryota, Metazoa, Chordata, Testudines, Dermochelyidae. The record is from RefSeq and is a predicted model, not a curated record. The transcript has 4 exons.
CAGUAAUGAUGGUUCUUCAAGAUGUGUCCCCCUGCAGGUGCUCCACUUUAGGUGUCGGUGCAUCCUUGAAUUGCCGAUCGGAGAUUUUAGGUAGCAGUGCUUGGUCGGGUCGCCCAUGCGCAGUAGUCGUCUCUCUGUGCUGUUGGCGCCUUAUGGAGUUUGCGCAUGACCCAACCCUCUCAGUUCCUUCUUUACUGAGGAGCUCAAGGUACGAACUCCAAAGUAGAGAGGAGAAGGGCAGGUAGUGGAGCACCCACAGGGGGACACAUCUCAAAGAACCAUUGUUACUGCACAACGUGCGUAACUACUUCUUCAAGUAGUGUCCCUGUAGGUGCUCCACUUUAGGUGUCUGUAAAGCAGUGCCCUACUGAGGACAGCAAGGGCUUGGGAGUUGUAUGUUGUAGCAGAGGGCACAGUAAGGCCUAGUAUAGCGUCUGAAAUAGUGCACUGGCUGAUAGCAUAGUGUUUUGCAAAGGUGUGCUCUGAUGCCCGUGCGGCAGCCCUAUGUAUAUCUAUUAGAGGGACAUUUUCAGGAAGGUUAUGGAUGUAGCCAUGGCACGGGAUGUCUGGUGGAGGUUCCUUGUUGUGCAACUGGUAGCAAAGUUGGAUACAGGUAGAGAUCCAUUUAGAUAGUCUCUGGGUCGAUAUUGCCCAGCCCUUGGAGCAUUCUGUUAUGGAAAUAAACAAUCUUGGGGAUUUGCAGAAGGGUAUGGUUCUGUCUAAAUAGAAUGCUAUGGCUCAUCUGACAUCUAGCAUAUGUAGGUCGACCUCUUAUGUAUCCAAGUGUAGUUUAGGGUAAAAUGUAGGUAGGUGUAAGGUUUGAUUUACAUGAAAGGAUGUUGCUACGUUCGGUAAAAAUUUUGGGUGUGGUCAUAACAUGAUUUUGUCUUUAGUGAACACAGUGUAAGGAGGUUCGGCCAUAAGUGCCCUGAUUUCGCUGACUCAUCUGGCUGAUGUGAUCGCUACCAAAAACCCAACUUUCAUAGACAUAUGAAGGAGUGAACAGGUCGCCAGUGGUUCAAAAAGUGCUCUUGUAAGGCAUUUGGUACACAAUUCAAGUCCCCUGGUGGUGCUGGUUGUCGAACUUCUGGGUGCAUAUUCUGUAUACCAAUGAGAAAGGGUCUAGUAGUUGGUCCAAUUAGCUAUGUUGGAACCACGUAGGAGCCAUGCUUUGAGGUGGAGUUUCUCCGGAUUCAGAUGGAGAGUCCAGCCUCCAUUCUGUGAGAGGAGAUCCAUCCACAAUGGAAGAUGUCAUGGAGCACACAUUGUUAGGCACGACCGGCUGAGGGAUAGGAAACAAUCGACGGUGAAUUGCAUGAAUGGAAGUGCUUUGUCAAGUGUUGAGGCUUUGAGGAGGCAGUCGUCUAGGACUGGAGGGUUGCCCUUGAAUCCUUCAUUAAGUGAAGGACGUCAUUCAUUGUGGAGGCAAAGAGUUUGUCGCCGUCGAAUGGAAGGUCUUCAAUGGUACUCUGGACCCCUCAAGGAAAUGAAGAGGAGGAGAGCCACAAACCUCAGCACAACUACUGCUGUAGCAGUGGAUCUUGCUGCAGUAUUGGCCGCAUCGAGGAUCACUUGAAGAGCAGUACGUGAUAUGAUUUGUCCCUCAGAGACUAAAGCAGUGAAUUGUUGUUUCAUUUCUUCUGGAAUGUCCUCAAUAAAGUCCAUGAAUUUGUUGCAAUUUUUGUGAUAUUUUGCCA